AGAAGACUUCAAAAAGCAGUCUAGAAGUGACCUUUUUAUUGGUGGUAGGCAAGAGGCGGAUCAUUGGCAGCUUUACAGUGUAAUAAUGAUCUUUGAAGCUAAUGGUUUGACACUGAUGGUUACCGCCUUCACCUAAUCAAUGCAGUUAGGCGGGUAUCAUUGUUCUAUCUCACCAACGGGAUACCAUAAAAGCUAAUACAGAUUCAACAGCAGAAGCUACGGCGUGUUGAGUAAGUAUGGUGAACUGCGUCAUCAGCGCCUUCGAUUUCAGCGGUUAUGCAUCAAUGUUAAGUGACAGCAAUUCGUGGUGAGAUUCGUG
Armigeres subalbatus is the source of this 319-nucleotide long non-coding RNA. RefSeq lists it as uncharacterized. Lineage: Eukaryota; Metazoa; Arthropoda; Insecta; Diptera; Culicidae. The transcript is spliced from 3 exons. The record is from RefSeq and is a predicted model, not a curated record.